Molecule: long non-coding RNA, 961 nt
Organism: Solanum lycopersicum (tomato)
Lineage: Eukaryota; Viridiplantae; Streptophyta; Magnoliopsida; Solanales; Solanaceae
Source: RefSeq, a predicted model, not a curated record
CCAAAAUAAUUCCCAAAGUCUUUCUCUCAAGUAUUUUUCUCCCUACAACUUGAAGAAUAAAAAAGAGUUAGAGCUAGGAUCAAGUUAAAUUCUCAGCUCCUUAAGAAUUUUGUGUGGCUUGAUAUCAAGGUGGUGUCCAUCAAAGAAUGUUGUCGUGUCUUUAAAAGAAAGUAUUAGGAGACAAUAUACACAGGCUUAUCACUCCAGGGGGAGAUUCCAAAUGGUAUAUUCCAGACGAUGUUUAAUAACUUUAAGACUAUGUGUACUUGGGAGACGAGAUACAAUCAAGUAAUUUUGACCAAAUUAGAGAGGAAGGCAUCUGCAAGACUGUCUGCCUGGCUAAUGAAUGUACGGAUGAUGGUGAACACCUGCAUUGGAUGUUACCGCAUGUUCAUGAUGAACUAGGUCUGUAUUGGAACAUAGACAAGUUUAAGGCAGUAUAAUACCAAGACAAAAAGGCUAGAGGCAGUCUUCAGGGUGGCUUGUUGCACACCGAACUCCUUUGGAACAAUUGCAAAAGAUAUGAGUCACUUUCAGGAUUACAUCGCUCAUUAUAUAGAUAAUUCAGUUUAAAUGAAACCUCAACUUUCCACCUAAAUUUUGACAGAAAAGCUGGUAGGGCGGACACACAAAGGUAGAGUAUGUGGUCCAGGAUCUCGGGACGAUGCAAGAUGACUCAAGUCGGACUUACAAGGAAUUGGGUCGUCUAGUCAAGUUGAGGCACUUGACAGUCUUUAAAUUGUUGCUAUGUCUGAUCAAAUAGCUAAAAUUACAGCAGCACUAGCAAAGACGAAGCAGAAGAGAGUAGCUGAAAAAGAAACCAUGAGUGCGACUGUUCCACAAAUCAAAGAACAAGUGAUGACACCUACAACGACAGUUCUUGUGAUGACGAUGAUUCUGUGGGCACAUUUUUUUUUAUAUAAAUUUGAACAUAUACAAAAAUUUGAAAUAUUUUGUAAAU